This is a long non-coding RNA of Oncorhynchus tshawytscha (Chinook salmon), 1088 nucleotides long. NCBI's taxonomy places the organism in Eukaryota, Metazoa, Chordata, Actinopteri, Salmoniformes, Salmonidae. The record is from Ensembl.
GUUCUGUCUAGUACUGUCUGGUACUGUCUGUUCUGUCUAGUACUGUCUGGUACUGUCUGGUACUGUCUGUUCUGUCUAGUACUGUCUGGUACUGUCUAGUACUGUCUGGUCUGUCUGGUCUGUCUGGUCUGUCUGGUACUGUCUAGUACUGUCUGGUACUGUCUGGUCUGUCUGGUCUGUCUAGUACUGUCUGGUACUGUCUGGUCUGUCUGGUCUGUCUAGUACUGUCUGGUACUGUCUGGUCUGCCUAGUACUGUCUGGUCUGUCUGGUACUGUCUAGUACUGUCUGGUACUGUCUGGUACUGUCUGUUCUGUCUGGUCUGUCUGGUCUGUCUAGUACUGUCUGGUACUGUCUGGUCUACCUAGUACUGUCUGGUACUGUCUAGUACUGUCUGUUCUGUCUGGUCUGUCUAGUACUGUCUGGUACUGUCUAGUACUGUCUGGUCUGCCUGGUACUGUCUGGUACUGUCUGUUCUGUCUGGUCUGUAUGGUACUGUCUGGUCUGUCUGGUACUGUCUGGUACUGUCUGGUCUGUCUGGUCUGUCUGGUCUGUCUAGUCUGUCUGGUACUGUCUGGUACUGCCUAGUACUGUCUGGUCUGUCUGGUCUGCCUAGUACUGUCUGGUACUGUCUGGUCUGCCUAGUACUGUCUGGUACUGUCUGGUCUGUCUGGUACUGUCUGGUACUGUCUGGUCUGUCUGGUACUGUAUGGUCUGUCUAGUACUGUCUGGUCUGUCUAGUCUGUCUGGUCUGUCUAGUACUGUAUGUACUGUAUGGUCUGUCUAGUACUGUGCUGCCAGCUCCCACACUAUGACAGAUCAGCAAAGGGCGCUGUACGAAAACCAACCAUCACAAACACACACUAUCAUUAAGAGUCAUUAACUCUCACAGGGACUAAAUGUUACAGCACGUGUUUAAAUGUGGUGCUGCUAUUUACAGUGAGUUGAUUACAGGAAUCAUUAUCUUCUCCACUUUCCAAAUCAGCAGAUGGCAUCAUGACCGUUGCUGUAGCUAGAACACUAUAUUCCCAGGGACUCAUCAACAGAUGGCAUCAUGACCGUUGCUGUAGCCAGAACACUAUAUUCCCAG